GGGAUUACAGGCAUGAGCUACCACACCCGGCCAUGACUAGAUUUUCAAAGGCUAUUGGUAUCAGGAAUGUCUUAUGAAAGAUAAGUUUAACCUGAGAUACUAGAUGCAAUAAUUACAUCCUAAGAAAGAUAGUGGCGCAUUGUAACAUGACAUUCAAAGCGAGCCUAUAGCACAGUUAAUUCCCCUUUUCUCAUUUUUUUAGUUUCAAAACUAUUUCUGGCUAGGCGCAGUGGCUCACGCCUGUAAUCCCAGCACUUUGGGAGGCCAAGGUAGGUGGAUCAUCAGGUCAGGAGUUUGAGACCAGCCUGGCUAACAUGGUAAAACUCCGUCUCUACGAAAAAUACAAAAAUUAGCCAGGUAUGGUGGUGCGCUCCUGUAAUCCCAGCUACUCGGGAGGCUGAGGCAGGAGAAUCGCUGGAACCCGUGAAGCGAAAGUUGCAGUGAGCAGAGAUCGCGUCACUGCACUCCAACCUGGGUGACAGAGUGAGACUGUCUCAAAAAGAAAAAACUCUGAACUUCUCCGUUUUGGACAAGCCCCUUCACUUCUCCAUGCCUUAGUUUUCU
RNAcentral lists this long non-coding RNA (564 nucleotides) under Pan troglodytes (chimpanzee). RNAcentral describes it as "long non-coding RNA NONPTRT007130". The record is from RNAcentral. Lineage: Eukaryota; Metazoa; Chordata; Mammalia; Primates; Hominidae.